GACGAACCGUGCGAACGUUGUUCGGAAUCACUGGGCUUAAAGGGCGCGUAGGCGGGCCCGCAAGUCAGGGGUGAAAUCCCACGGCUCAACCGUGGAAGUGCCUUUGAUACUGCGGGCCUCGAGGGAGGUAGGGGCGUGCGGAACUUCCGGUGGAGCGGUGAAAUGCGUAGAUAUCGGAAGGAACACCGGUGGCGAAAGCGGCGCGCUGGACCUCUUCUGACGCUGAGGCGCGAAAGCCAGGGGAGCAAACGGG
This 253-nucleotide ribosomal RNA is filed under the name uncultured bacterium. RNAcentral describes it as "partial 16S ribosomal RNA". It matches the Rfam family "Bacterial small subunit ribosomal RNA", at positions 524 to 776 of the family's 1533-position model. The record is from RNAcentral.